Molecule: ribosomal RNA, 429 nt
Filed under: Rhipicephalus sanguineus (brown dog tick)
Lineage: Eukaryota; Metazoa; Arthropoda; Arachnida; Ixodida; Ixodidae
Description: partial large subunit ribosomal RNA
Source: RNAcentral
UCUGCUCAAUGAUUUUUUAAAUUGCUGUGGUAUUUUGACUAUACAAAGGUAUUGAAAUAAGAUUUUAAUUGAAUGCUAAGAGAAUGGAAGUCCAGAAAAAAACUUUUUUUAAAUUAAAAAUUGAAGUUUUUUUAAUUUGUGCAGAAACAAUUAUUUAUAUUAAAGACAAGAAGACCCUAUGAAUUUAUUAAAUUUUUAUUUAAUAUGUAAUUACUAUUAGAAAAAUUUUGGCUGGGGCGGCUAGAAAAUAUUAUGAACUUUUUAAAAAUAAAAUGAUCCAUUAUUAAUGAUUUUAUGUUAAAUACUCUAGGGAUAACAGCGUUAUAUUUUUUGAUAGAUCAUAUUGACAAAAAAGUUUGCGACCUCGAUGUUGGAUUAGGAUACUUUUUUAAUGAAGAUAUAAAAAAAGAAGUUGUGCAGCUGACCGGC